Molecule: ribosomal RNA, 439 nt
Filed under: uncultured soil bacterium
Lineage: Bacteria
Description: bacterial SSU rRNA
Rfam family: Bacterial small subunit ribosomal RNA
Source: RNAcentral
AGAACGAACGCUGGCGGCAUGCCUAACACAUGCAAGUCGAGCGAGACCUUCGGGUCUAGUGGCGCACGGGUGCGUAACGCGUGGGAAUCUGCCCUUGGGUUCGGGAUAACAGUUGGAAACGACUGCUAAUACCGGAUGAUGACUUCGGUCCAAAGAUUUAUCGCCCAGGGAUGAGCCCGCGUAGGAUUAGCUAGUUGGUGAGGUAAAGGCUCACCAAGGCGACGAUCCUUAGCUGGUCUGAGAGGAUGAUCAGCCACACUGGGACUGAGACACGGCCCAGACUCCUACGGGAGGCAGCAGUGGGGAAUAUUGGACAAUGGGCGAAAGCCUGAUCCAGCAAUGCCGCAUGAGUGAUGAAGGCCUUAGGGUUGUAAAGCUCUUUACCGGAUGAUAAUGACAGUACCGGAGAAUAAGCCCGGCUAACCUCGCGCAGCAGCCG